UGGCUCUUACCAGAAAAAAUACUCGAAGAGGGAAUUUGUAACAAGAGGAAUAUGGGGUUUCAAGUGGGGAUUAAAUCUUGAAUCAAGGACCAGAGACUGAGGAAGACAGAUGAUUCAGAACCUAUGAAGCAGCAGAUACUGAAACCUAAUCUGACGUCACAAACCUGACAGCUACUUUGUGACUCAGAAAGAGAUUAAGGCACAGACAUCAGAGUCCAAGUCUUGCUGUGAGGACACAGGGAGAAGACAGCCAUCUACAAAACAAGGAUAGAGCCCCACAAUAAAAACCACCCUGCAGCUACCUUGAUCUUGAACUUCUAAUCUCUAGAAUGAUCCACUAUGCUUUAUUAUCCAUAUCUACAUAUCCUUGUGGCUGCUACUCCAGCCUUCCUG
This 393-nucleotide long non-coding RNA is filed under the name Homo sapiens (human). RNAcentral's name for it is "HSALNT0301643". The record is from RNAcentral. Lineage: Eukaryota; Metazoa; Chordata; Mammalia; Primates; Hominidae.